This 468-nucleotide ribosomal RNA is filed under the name uncultured bacterium. RNAcentral's name for it is "partial 16S ribosomal RNA". It matches the Rfam family "Bacterial small subunit ribosomal RNA", at positions 28 to 507 of the family's 1533-position model. The record is from RNAcentral.
GACGAACGCUGGCGGCGUGCUUAACACAUGCAAGUCGAACGGAAAGGCCCUGCUUUUGUGGGGUGCUCGAGUGGCGAACGGGUGAGUAACACGUGAGUAACCUGCCCUUGACUUUGGGAUAACUUCAGGAAACUGGGGCUAAUACCGGAUAGGAGCUCCUGCUGCAUGGUGGUGGUUGGAAAGUUUCGGCGGUUGGGGAUGGACUCGCGGCUUAUCAGCUUGUUGGUGGGGUAGUGGCUUACCAAGGCUUUGACGGGUAGCCGGCCUGAGAGGGUGACCGGCCACAUUGGGACUGAGAUACGGCCCAGACUGCUACGGGAGGCAGCAGUGGGGAAUAUUGCACAAUGGGCGGAAGCCUGAUGCAGCAACGCCGCGUGCGGGAUGACGGCCUUCGGGUUGUAAACCGCUUUCGCCUGUGACGAAGCGUGAGUGACGGUAAUGGGUAAAGAAGCACCGGCUAACUACGUG